GAUGAACGCUGGCGGCGUGCCUAACACAUGCAAGUCGAGCGUGAUUUAUGAGGACGAAACUUCGGUCUAGGAAUCAUAGUGAAAGCGGCGGACGGGUGAGUAACGCGUAGGCAACCUGCCCUUGACACAGGGAUAGCCUCGGGAAACCGGGAUUAAAACCUGAUGACGCCAAACAGUCACAUGGCUGUUUGGCCAAAGAUUUAUCGGUCAAGGAUGGGCCUGCGUCUGAUUAGUUAGUUGGUGGGGUAACGGCCUACCAAGACGACGAUCAGUAGCCGACCUGAGAGGGUGAUCGGCCACAUUGGAACUGAGACACGGUCCAAACUCCUACGGGGGGCAGCAGUGGGGAAUAUUGCACAAUGGGCGAAAGCCUGAUGCAGCAACGCCGCGUGAGCGAUGAAGGCCUUUGGGUCGUAAAGCUCUGUCCUUGGGGAAGAAACAAAUGACGGUACCCAAGGAGGAAGCCCCGGCUAACUACGUGCCAGCCGCCGCAGUAA
RNAcentral lists this ribosomal RNA (497 nucleotides) under uncultured bacterium. RNAcentral describes it as "partial 16S ribosomal RNA". It matches the Rfam family "Bacterial small subunit ribosomal RNA", at positions 28 to 523 of the family's 1533-position model. The record is from RNAcentral.